This 24-nucleotide non-coding RNA is filed under the name Arabidopsis thaliana (thale cress). Lineage: Eukaryota; Viridiplantae; Streptophyta; Magnoliopsida; Brassicales; Brassicaceae. The record is from RNAcentral.
GAAAAUGUGGAAGUGACCCUGCUU